GGCCCAGGGUCUGGCCGGGGCAGCCGCUGUGGGCCCUGCCACCCUGGAGCCCGCGGAGGAGCUGGGGGCGAUGGGCCCAGCCCCUGAGGAUAAGAGAUCUGAGACCCUUGGGGCAGCUUGAGAGCCACAGAGGAAUGUCGGUGGGAGAAACAAUGAAAUAUCAGUAUGAAAACUGUGGUGCAGAGGCCCAAGAUGCUGGGAUUGAGGAGGAAAGAGAGAAAGUUAACAGAAAACAAGGCGGACCAGAAAAGGAUCCGGACCAGGAAGAGAGCAAGCCCGGAUUCCAGGAGUAGAAAAGGAUGGAGAAAGAAGAAAGAAUCUGUUCUUCACUUCAUCACCUGAAAAGUGACAUCCACUGACGUGAUAGUUCUCUAACCUUUUACAGAUGUAUUUAAUAGCAUGUGUUCACGUUUUAAGUUUGUUUUAGAUAAGUUGAAACAUAGGCA
Molecule: long non-coding RNA, 446 nt
Organism: Talpa occidentalis (Iberian mole)
Lineage: Eukaryota; Metazoa; Chordata; Mammalia; Eulipotyphla; Talpidae
Exons: 4
Source: RefSeq, a predicted model, not a curated record